Molecule: ribosomal RNA, 253 nt
Filed under: uncultured bacterium
Lineage: Bacteria
Description: partial 16S ribosomal RNA
Rfam family: Bacterial small subunit ribosomal RNA
Source: RNAcentral
UACGUAGGGCGCAAGCGUUAUCCGGAAUUAUUGGGCGUAAAGCGCGCGCAGGCGGUCCUUUAAGUCUGAUGUGAAAGCCCACGGCUCAACCGUGGAGGGUCAUUGGAAACUGGGGGACUUGAGUGCAGGAGAGAAGAGUGGAAUUCCUGGUGUAGCGGUGAAAUGCGCAGAUAUCAGGAGGAACACCAAUUGCGAAGGCAGCUCGCUGGGACGUUACUGACGCUGAGACGCGAAAGCGUGGGGAGCAAACAGG